Non-coding RNA from Misgurnus anguillicaudatus (oriental weatherfish), 821 nucleotides. Lineage: Eukaryota; Metazoa; Chordata; Actinopteri; Cypriniformes; Cobitidae. The record is from RefSeq and is a predicted model, not a curated record.
CGAAUGAAAGAAUUGAACCAUGAUAAAACGCGACAUGCACUACAAAUUGAAGGUAUGAAAUUAAGUUAAAUGGAAGCUCGUUUAUUCACCAUAUGAUGCUCGUUAUGAGGUAAUCAUAUAGGCUAGAUACCGUGAGUUAACGAGGUCGUUUACAUGCACGUGAGUGCACGGAUAUCGGUUAAUUAUUCAAAUUACUGAAAAACACGGAGAAAACCGCAACCGCAUUGCCAUGUGUUUUUCCAAGAUGUAUGCAAACAGGGGAAAUAUCACCAAACCAACAAUUCAUUUUACCAAAACCUCACUAUAUAUCAUCAUUUGUAUGCACAGAUUGCUGGAUUGGAUGCAUUGUGUGUUGUAAGCUUUUCGUGGCGCUAGAUGUCAGACAGAUGCAAAUGGCAAAUACAUACGAAAGUGUAAAACGUGUAUGGCGAACAUUUGUUUUUCUGUCAUUAUAGAUGCUAGUUUGGUGAAAGUACACACUGAGUGCUUCAAAUCAUUCAGAAGAGAUGCUGUUUUUAAGGGCAGUUUAUUAAAGAAGACCUGACAUGGAUGACUUCCAAUGAGAAACGACUGCUAAUACUUAUAUAAAUUCAUUACAGAAGGACCCUACCAGACUAUAUUUGAAUACGGCAUACCCAUGAAUUCUGAACUGUUAUUCCUUAACCCAGUUUGGAGGAUAAGAGCUUACCAACUAGUUAUAAAUAUGCUGAGGUGAUGUAUUGCAAAAUAGCCAACAUACAACAAUUAAAGGAUAAUUGCAGACUACAUCCUGAUGAAGAUAUGGACGACCCUCUGUCUGGUCAACAAUAGUUUAAAUAUGG